GGCAGCAGCUAAGAAUAUUCCGCAAUGGGCGAAAGCCUGACGGAGCGACGCCGCGUGGAUGAUGAAGGCCGUGAGGUUGUAAAAUCCUUUUGUGAGUGAGGAAUAAACGCCGCAGGGAAUGGCGGCGCGGUGACUGUAGCUCACGAAUAAGCACCGGCUAAUUACGUGCCAGCAGCCGCGGUAACACGUAAGGUGCGAGCGUUGUUCGGAAUUAUUGGGCGUAAAGGGCAUGCAGGCGGUCUGGUAAGUUAGGCGUGAAAUCCCGGGGCUUAACCCCGGAACUGCGCUUGAUACUGCUGGACUAGAGUCAGUGAGGGGAGACUAGAAUUCCAGGUGUAGGGGUGAAAUCUGCAGAUAUCUGGAAGAAUACCGGGCGAAGGCAGGUCUCUAGCACAUGACUGACGCUCAUAUGCGAAGGUGCGGGGAGCAAACAGGAUUAGAUACCCUGGUAGUCCGCACAGUAAACUAUGCACACUUGGUGUCUGCGCUUGAGCGUGGGUGCCGUAGCUAACGCUUUAAGUGUGCCGCCUGGGGAGUAUGCCCGCAAGGGUGAAACUCAAAGGAAUUGACGG
Molecule: ribosomal RNA, 572 nt
Filed under: uncultured rumen bacterium
Lineage: Bacteria
Description: bacterial SSU rRNA
Rfam family: Bacterial small subunit ribosomal RNA
Source: RNAcentral